GUUUUAAAUGUCGAAAAAUCUUUUUAGAAAAUUGUUCAUAUUUUUUCAAAAAUAUUUCAAUGACCCUGAAGAUGAGGCAAGUAAGACCUCGAAAUAUAUAGGCCAAAAAUAAAUAGUUUUCUAAAAUAAAAAGAUGAGUUUUUAAAUUAAUCUGAACUAAAAGAAGCAAAACAAAGAAGGACAUUCUGAAGUCGAGUUAUUCCCAAAAAACGAUAUUUUUGGGUGUUUUCGCACCGGUUUUGCAUGCGUUCAUUUAUCAAUAUCUUGGCCAUCUUUGGUGAUAAAGAGCUCAUUUUUGCUUUACAAUGCAGUACAUGAACAGGGCUACAAAAUAGGUUAGAAAAAUGUCAAUCAUGAUAGAAGCUUUUUUCGAAAUAAUGACAAAAAUGUGUUUUUUAACAACAAGAAUUUGACUUUAAAUGGCUGCCAUUUUAUAUUUACUCAUUCAAAUACAAUGAAAUUACAUAUAACGAUAGAAAAUAUUAUAAGGAAGAGAAUGUUUGUUUAUUUUUUGGUCUACGACAAUCUGGAGCAAAGAUAUUAGCUUAGAAGUAAAAUAUCCCAAAAAAUGCAUUUUUGUGAAUAAUUCCGCUAAAAAGAAUGAUCAGGUGGUGAGAAAUUGGGUUUAAGCCUUUUAAAUAUACCUCUAUCGAUCCAUGAAAUAAAAACUGACAGUGCCUCUCUGC
This is a long non-coding RNA of Episyrphus balteatus (marmalade hoverfly), 686 nucleotides long. RefSeq lists it as uncharacterized. The transcript has 3 exons. The record is from RefSeq and is a predicted model, not a curated record. NCBI's taxonomy places the organism in Eukaryota, Metazoa, Arthropoda, Insecta, Diptera, Syrphidae.